This 471-nucleotide long non-coding RNA is filed under the name Cricetulus griseus (Chinese hamster). RNAcentral's name for it is "lncRNA (ENSCGRG00015035893.1)". The record is from RNAcentral. Lineage: Eukaryota; Metazoa; Chordata; Mammalia; Rodentia; Cricetidae.
GUGAGAGGGAACAGAGCCCAGAACAAGGGGAAAAGGAGAGCCGAUGGAGCUAAAUUUCCUGUGUCUGAAAUGUAACCAUCAGAGAUCCUCCCCGCAGCUAAAGCUAAGUGGCAGUCUAGAAGCUAACAGAAAAGGCUUUGGCGUCUGAAGUAGAGCACUUACGCCAACUGUGAUCCACCCAGCUCCCAGCACAGCAGGAAGCUCUGAGUCUGCCCAGUUGCAGGUUCCUCUCCACUCUCCUGAAGAAACCCAGUGGAGCAAUGUGGAGGACAAUGAUAGCUGGAAAGCCCACAGAAUCAGCAUCUGGAAAUGGAAGUUGACAGCUGCACUUGUAAAAACGAAAGGAAGAUAUCCUCGGGCUUAAGAUACAGGGCAUCCUAAUAUCAGGGUUCUGUUCAUCUCCAUCCAACCUCAAACUGUUUGCCCAGUUAGCCAAUAUGUGUACAAGAGGAGACUCUCUGGAAGCCAGGG